UUCCGCGGGCUGGACGUAAGUCCCUGGGGAGCCUGCAGGGCGAGAUGCGGGGGCACCGGUCCGCGGUCAUUCCUGUGCUGCUGCGGUGAAACCCGUUUUGCUCGCAAUAGGCGAGAGAGGAAAGAAACGCCUCCCGGGCCCGGUUGGCUUUCACGGUGUGGCCCGCAGCGUUACCUCUCUGAGGCGGGGUCCAGCCUCGGAGGAAUUUAAGCUGUAGCUCAGAGAUUAGUUUGCUCAGAGAUGUGCUGCACCCCACGGAGAAGGAUCCACAUUAAGGAUUGAAAAUUUAGUGAUACAUACUCAAGGCUCUGGUUUCCAUAUGUAGUGAAGAUACCCAAAAGAAGCAGCAGCAGUGGAAUUGUAUGAAAACCCUGAGACUGUCACUAUGCUGGAUUUAAACAAAUUCUGUUAAUCCUGCACUAACCUGAGCUCUCCCAUCAUGCAAAAGAACUAAAUCAAAGCAGAAAAAAUAGCUUCAAAUCUGGAGAUACACUCAGAGCAGCUAAAUUACUGGCCAGGGUCCCUGUAGCAAGUCCUUAGCAGAGCAGAGGUAAAGGGCAGCUUUCUGUCAGGUCCAAAGGUACUGCAUUCCUUAGCCACUGCCUUUCUCAUGAAUUAGUAUCUGCAUUCCUGCUGACCUCAGGGAAGACAGGAAUGAAAAAUCUAGUAAUAACCAGCAGAGGCAGGAUUCCACAGGUAAGAGUUGUCAAACAGUGGAGCAGAUGUACAGAGAGUCUGUAAAAUGUCCAUCCUUCAGGGUACUCAAAAUGCAGCUGGGCAAGGCCUGACCAACUUGCUGUAACUGAGCCUGCUUUGAACAGGAUCUGGAACCAGCUGGCCUCCAGAGGUUCCUUCCAGCAUACCUGAUCCUGUGGUUCUGUGACUUUUUUUGAGAGUAUUGCCAAAUUGGAAGCCCAGAGCAAUGUUUAUGGGGGAAAAACCCAACAAUCCAGCUCUAAAAGGGAAAAAAUCGGAAUCAACUAAAGUAAACUACAAGAAAAAGACACAGAGGAAACUAAGCUAUCAAUAAAGCUAUCAAUGAAGCUGUCCAAGAGAAAAGUGCUUUUCAGCAGCAGGGAAUAACUGAGGUUGUGAAGUUAAAAAGCCUGGCGAAUAUCCUGAGGAGAGUGUGAGAAAGUUGAAACAUGUCUAGUAGAUAUGACAUCAAAAAGCCCAAUCACCCAAAGAGAAAGUGUAUACAUGGACUCAUCUUCAAAGACUGAAUUUGACAUUUUUAUAAUUUGUUGUGUGCUUUCUGAGCAUCUGCUGAGACUACACAUCUCAAACGUUACUGGUGGCAGCUAGUCUAAAGAAUGCACUUUCCUGGUGCAAUGGUGGAGGACCGUGACAUGCAGAAAAAAGAAAAUCUCCCGUCUGAAACAGUGACCAGUUCUUCCUAUUCUCGCUCUUCUCCUGGAAGGUGAGGAUGAACUGCUCACCCCACAGUCCUGAGCCAGGAACAGGAACAGGAACCAGCCUGCUGCGGUCCAGGAAACCCAGGGUAAUACCAGUAUUAAUAUCUGCUUCUGUCAGAGCCAGCCAGAUUACAGCCAAGCCUAAAGGGCAGGGUACUAGACCAGAGGCAAAUGUAAAGGGUGUCUUUCCCUGAAGUGACCAUAAUGUAACAUACACAGCAUUGCAGACAACCAGAGUGUCAGAUUUGCAUUCUGGAUUCUGAAGCACAGAUACUUGUACAAUAGAUGUUUCUCACAGGCUUAUAUACAGUGUAAAGAUGUGUCCACCUAUGAUACCAGUUAUAGCUGUUUCAGUAGGUUAUUAUACAGUUCUGAACAUGGUCAAAUUAUGUGAGUCUUGCAUACCAUACUGUCUGAAUGGUUUUCCAACAGUAGGUUCCAUUUUUCUUUAAUGUACCUCAAAACAUAGUUUCCUGCUCAUGUUUAAUGAAGUAAACUCCUGAUAACUGCAGCAUACACUAUAGUCAUUAUUUCCUCCUCAUAUUUCAGGGCCUUUGACAUUUCAGUCUGCCCAGCAAUGGUUCGUUAACAGGAUGUACUUACAUAUUCAUAUUUCAGCUGCUUGUUAUUAACUUCUGUCUAAUUCCAGUAAUGCUCUGAUCCAUCAUCAGAACAGCUUACUCAUAAGCAUUUGGUUCUGCCCAGGUUACAACACUGUUCUGCAGGAGAAGCAGCUCCUUAGGGGCUGAGCUGAGAGCUGGGGUGGAAACUGCUCCAGCUGCCUUGUUUGCGAGUCAUCCCUGUAAGUACAUUAACUUCUAGAAGCUGUGUUGAUUCUUCCAUGCAAUUGAAUAACAUGAUGAUGAUUGUGGAAGAGUGAUUUCUCUGCAUAUACUCCUUGUUGAGGCUAUUAGGACAAAGUAUGAUAGGGCACAAAUAAAAUCAUAAGGCUAGACGUUCAGAUGAUGAACAUCAGUGUGGCAGUGUUAAAGUUCAUCUAUUGCAGUAGAAAAAUUACCUUUCUAAUGACAUUAUAAGGUUCCUAUUAUUAUAAGAUAAAUUCAUAGCUGACUGUUCAUUCUGUAUGAGAUUUUUUUUUUGUAUAAUAAUACAAAGAAAUUUAAUUUCUAAUUUUAGCCUCUUUUAUACAUUUAUUUCUACCAUAUUUUUUGAGACAGGGAGUCAGCCUGAGGAAACAUACUGCUCAGUUUGAUUUCAGAUACUAUAGAUGUAGUUUGUUCUUUCUGUUCUAUGCAGAAAUAGUUAAUGACCAAGAUAACUGCACAGUGAGUGCACCACAGCUGAAUAUUUCAAAAUACUUCAGGAAAAUUCUUGCUCCCCCUGCAGUCAAAGGAAGCUUUUGCAGUGAAUUUAAAAAAGAAAGGAGAUGUGCAUUUCUGCUGUGGAUGCCCUAAAAAUGUGCUCGAUGUUUAUGUCUGUGUUUGCUUUGCUUUGGCUUGCCACUGCUUACUUAAGAAAGAAACUAGAUUAACAUUUUAACAUCACAUUAUCUCUCAGAUAUCUCUGCUUACUAUCUUUGUUUGCUGUACUUUUGUAAAUAAGAUAAACAGUGAGUAAACAGAAAAAACAACUUCCAUGGUGCAUUUUGUACAAAGUUCUCAGACGAUUAAUGGUGGAGCAUGUGAGUCUGCUAAGACAAAAGAGGACAGGUGGUAUUAAAAAAUCUCAGAUGCAUUUUAAAUGUAGGGAAGUACACUUCUAAUUAAUAUUUUAAAGUACGAUGUGAAC
Molecule: long non-coding RNA, 3164 nt
Organism: Pezoporus flaviventris
Lineage: Eukaryota; Metazoa; Chordata; Aves; Psittaciformes; Psittacidae
Exons: 6
Source: RefSeq, a predicted model, not a curated record